AGGAGACGGAACGAUAGUAUCAAACUUUAUUUAUAAUGGGUAAAUAUGCCUUGUGGAGACCUUCAGUGUCCGUUUAUAAAUUAAGACU
Trachymyrmex septentrionalis is the source of this 88-nucleotide long non-coding RNA. RefSeq lists it as uncharacterized. The transcript is spliced from 3 exons. NCBI's taxonomy places the organism in Eukaryota, Metazoa, Arthropoda, Insecta, Hymenoptera, Formicidae. The record is from RefSeq and is a predicted model, not a curated record.